CUGUGGGGAUUCGUCCCCAUUGAGAUAGCACCCUUUGUUCACGAGUACCCUGUUUCCUCGGCGGGCGUGCCCGCCGCCAGGACCCCCCCAAAACCCUUUGCAGUGGCAGUACCUUCAGUUAACAUAAAUAUCA
Molecule: unclassified non-coding RNA, 133 nt
Filed under: uncultured Pleosporales
Lineage: Eukaryota; Fungi; Ascomycota; Dothideomycetes; Pleosporales
Description: sequence contains ITS1
Source: RNAcentral